Molecule: non-coding RNA, 98 nt
Organism: Guyanagaster necrorhizus
Lineage: Eukaryota; Fungi; Basidiomycota; Agaricomycetes; Agaricales; Physalacriaceae
Source: the annotation of a RefSeq genome assembly
GCCUGCCUAGCUCAAUCGGCUAGAGCGUCAGACUUUUAUGGCAAAGAGAGUGUCGUUACAUAAUCUGAAGGCUGCGAGUUCGACCCUCGCGGUGGGCU